CACCGUUGCAUUGAUUCAUCAUCAGCUGACAUACGCAUCUGUGCUUAGUUUACAAUAAUUUUACAUCGUCGGGCACGUCCAGGCAGCUGCUAGCUGGUCUGGUCUGGUCUGAUCUGACGAGCUCACGAGCACAAAGCAAUACGCUGGCGCGUGCAACUACUACACGCCUACUCACGAGCAGAGGGCACAUCACUUGCCGGGGACGAAGUUGGUGGCGUACGCCCAUGCGUUGUUGGCGACGGGGUCGGCGACGUGGUCGAAGAGGUUCUCGAUGGGUCCCUUGCCGGUGACGAUGGCCUGCACGAAGAACCCGAACAUGGAGAACAUGGCGAGGCGGCCGUUCUUGAGCUCCUUCACCUUGAGCUCGGCGGCGGUGUCCGGGUCGUCGGCGAGGCCCAGCGGGUCGAAGGCGCCGCCGGGGUAGACCUUGUCGAGUCCCUCCCCGAGCGGGCCGCCGCCGACGCGGUAGCCCUCGACGAAGCCCAUGAGCACGACCUGGCAGGCCCAGAUGGCCAGGAUGCUCUGCGCGUGCACCAGGUUGGGGUUGCCCAGGUAGUCCAGCCCGCCCUCGGAGAAGAUCUGCGCGCCGGCCUUGAACCACACCGCCUCGCCGAACUUGACGCCGUUCUUGGCAAGGAUCUCCGGGAACACGCACCCCAGCGCGCCGAGCAUGGCCCACCGCGAGUGGAUCACCUCCAGCUCGCGGUUGCGCGCGAAGGUCUCCGGGU
This 728-nucleotide long non-coding RNA is filed under the name Setaria viridis. RNAcentral's name for it is "long non-coding RNA (SVIR_LNC010222)". The record is from RNAcentral. Lineage: Eukaryota; Viridiplantae; Streptophyta; Magnoliopsida; Poales; Poaceae.